This 449-nucleotide ribosomal RNA is filed under the name uncultured bacterium. RNAcentral's name for it is "partial 16S ribosomal RNA". It matches the Rfam family "Bacterial small subunit ribosomal RNA", at positions 29 to 523 of the family's 1533-position model. The record is from RNAcentral.
AGCGAACGCUGGCGGCAGGCUUAACACAUGCAAGUCGAACGGGCACUUCGGUGUCAGUGGCAGACGGGUGAGUAACACGUGGGAACGUACCUUUUGGUUCGGAACAACUGAGGGAAACUUCAGCUAAUACCGGAUAAGCCCUUACGGGGAAAGAUUUAUCGCCGAAAGAUCGGCCCGCGUCUGAUUAGCUAGUUGGUAGGGUAAUGGCCUACCAAGGCGACGAUCAGUAGCUGGUCGGAGAGGAUGAUCAGCCAAAUUGGGACUGAGACACGGCCAGAACCCCACCGGGGGGCGGAAGUGGGAAAUUUGGGACAAGGGGGGCAACCUUGAUCCAGCCAUGCCGCGUGAGGGAUGAAGCCCAUAGGGUUGUAAAGCUCUUUUGUGCGGGAAGAUAAUGACGGUACCGCAAGAAUAAGCCCCGGCUAACUUCGUGCCAGCCGCCGCCGUAA